Apis cerana (Asiatic honeybee) is the source of this 764-nucleotide long non-coding RNA. RefSeq lists it as uncharacterized. NCBI's taxonomy places the organism in Eukaryota, Metazoa, Arthropoda, Insecta, Hymenoptera, Apidae. The record is from RefSeq and is a predicted model, not a curated record.
AUCGAGAAAUAUAAUUGUAUUAAAAAAAUAUAUAUCUAUUUUUUUGAAUCAAUAAUUAGUUUGCUUUAUGCAAGGAUUAUCAAUGAUUGAUAAAUAUCUAUUUCUCAUAAUUCAAGGUAUGUUAAAACAUUAUAAAGAGGAUUUAAAAAGUUAGAAAUUAACACGAUAUUUUUAACAGCCCUCAGUUUCGAUAACGGUGUUUCUAGAAACCGAGUUUAAAUUGCUGAGUAUGGACGAUUUUGUGGCUUGAUAAAAGACGAGGUAUCCUUGAUAUUUCUUGAAAAUCAUUUUCAUGGGGAAAAAUAUUUAUUUUUAUGAUAUUCAAAGAAAUAUAAGAUUUUAAGGUUAACGAUCUCUAGAAAUAUUUUCCUAACCUUAACAAUUCUCAAGUUCAAAUAACAGAUCUGCUAAUCUAAAAAUAAAAUUAGAUGAGGCGUAGUAAAGUUAUAGCAAAUACACGAUUUUAUUAUCUGGCAAUUUGUAACUUGUUGAUUUACACGCAUGGUAAUGACUGUUCCUCAACACGAUGAUAAUUACUUCACACUAUGUCACAACUAUGUAACGAAUAAGCUAUGUUCCGGGUUAUUAUUCACCGUAGAAUCAUUCAAAUAUCAUUCUCUGAAAUAUGCAAAUGCAAUUCAUCGAAUAUUUUUAAAAAAUGAACCGAAAUUUGACACGCAAGAACGAAAGUUUAAAAGUUGUAUGAUAAUUUUGUAUGAUUUAUAAUCUAAUGACAUAGUAAUAAAGUAAAGCCACAAAACUGC